CCUGACGGUAGUCGUAUGCUCGUCUCCGAGACUAAGCCAUGCAAGUCCAAGUACACGUCCUUGAACGACGGAAACUGCGAACGGCUCAUUAAAUCAGUUGCGAUCUACUCGGCGUUCCGCGCCGCCGGAUAACCGUAGUAAUUCUAGGGCUAAUACGUGCGAAGCGCCCGAAGCCGCGAGGCGACGGGCGUUCUCGCCGGAUGUAGGAACCGACCCCGGGGACCGCCGGGGGCAACCCCGGCGCCCCCGAGACGGGGCGAACCACGGUGAAAUGACGGAUCGUCGGCCCCGCGCCGGCGACUCGCCGAAUGAGUUUCUGACCUAUCAACUCGAGACGGCGGGGUAGAGGCCCGCCGCGGUAACGACGGGUAACGGGGAAUCAGGGUUCGAUUCCGGAGAGGGAGCCCGAGAAACGGCUACCACUUCCAAGGAAGGCAGCAGGCGCGCAACUUACCCUAAUCUCGAUUCGAGGA
RNAcentral lists this ribosomal RNA (473 nucleotides) under uncultured eukaryote. Its description in RNAcentral is "bacterial SSU rRNA". It matches the Rfam family "Eukaryotic small subunit ribosomal RNA", at positions 13 to 462 of the family's 1831-position model. The record is from RNAcentral.